CCAUACCACAAUGCAUUUGAUAUUUCGUCGCUAUAACAUUCGGUGCUUGUAUUUUACAUUUUUGCCUCUGAAUUAGAAUGUUCUGCACUCACCAAGCGCUGGGACCUCCUCCGUGUCUCUCUUGUCCUGGAUGCUGCUUCCCAGUGGGUGUGGGUCCCCUGUGAGUCCUUGCUCACUCUCUGGGUCAUCCAGGGACCGCUGAUCCUCUGCCUGCUUCUCCCCUCCACUCAGCUGCAGAGAAGCGAUCCCCCCAGCACUGUGCCCUCCUCUUGGGAUCUGCAGGCAGCACAGAGCCAGCAGAGCCACAGACACAACAACAGUCUGGCUCUUCAUACCUGCUCUGCUCUGCUCGUCCAACUGCAGAAUUCUUUGGUUUGUUCUUUUUUGCUUUUCUCUCCCAGUCGUCCCCACUGCUAAAUCCAACUGCGCCAGAAGAAGUACUUUUUACACUUUCCUCCCCUGGGCCGCCCCCUACCCCUUUGCAAUGCGAUCCACACCUUCACUCCUGCGCGGAAAUUUCUUCAGCUCCACACGUACUCGCAGCCACAGUGUCAGCCAGGCUCAGACUGGGCCAGACGUGGAGAGAGAUGGACUGGGAGGGGGGUGGGGAUAUGCAGGGAGGUGGGUUUCAGAGAGAGAGACACACACACACGCAGAUAGAGAGACGCAGAGCAAAAGCAGCAAUCCAGACAGAUGAAUAGACCGGGUCCCUAAUUGCCCUACAGCUACGGUCAGCUGACAAAACAGCGCCAGACCAGAGGUUCCCUCUUCACCUGGCUGACGAGUCACAACAGGUGCAAGGCUCAGACAGGAGACGGGGGGGGACGACGAGGGCGGGCAGACGGGGCCUGAGACCACAGGGCUCGCACCUCCCGAGUUUGUGAAAGAAGCUCCUUUUUCUCCCGUACAAUUCCUCAGGCGGAGAGCUUUUGCUCUGCAGAGUUAUGACAGCGCAAGGCAGCAGGAGAGAGGAGCUACUCCUAGGACAUUCAAUUCCACCACAGGAGGAGGAGGAGGAGGAAGAGACAACAAGGGGGAAGACAAGGAUUGUGUGUGUGUUAACAAAACCAAAGACCACUAAUCAUCAGAGGGAGGAAUUGAAAGUAAAUGAAAACAGGCAGGACAGGCCAUAAACUAUUUUCAUGGUGUUGUGUAAUUCGCCUUCACUAUCCGGAAGAAAAAGUAUUGAUCGCCGAGGGUGGAGGAGCACACACACAUUACACGAGAAUGGUCGAAGCAUAUGAGGGAAUAAUAACCUUAAAAGAUCUUGGUGCAUCCUCCGCACCCCAUCCCCCCGAGAGAAUGUGAGGCCCUUGAAAUGCCUGCUGUGUUUAUUUGACCACCAGUCUAGUUAAGGUACCUAUUUCAGUCUUCUUAGGUAAACCAGAGUGAUUCAUUCUCAGCAAGGAGUAGAAUAGAUCCAUUUAGGGCCUGAAAUGUAG
This is a long non-coding RNA of Gasterosteus aculeatus aculeatus (three-spined stickleback), 1442 nucleotides long. Lineage: Eukaryota; Metazoa; Chordata; Actinopteri; Perciformes; Gasterosteidae. The record is from Ensembl.